AAGAAAAAAAAACCCACUCCCGAUCCCAUCGCUCCCAACCUCCUGCCCCCGCCCCAGAUUCCCCUCACCCCGCGCCGCCGCAUGAUCUCCCCGGGGCCCCCGCCUCCGCGCGAGCUUCCCGGCCCCCCUGCUACCGCGCGACCUCCGUCGCCAUGGCCGACCACCUUCUCCCGCCGCUCCGGCCACACGCCUCCUUCUCGCACCGCCACAUCCACCCGCCGGCGCAACCAUCUUCUUCCCAGAUCACGGCGCGCUGCCGCCCCAUCCAACCAUCCCCACGCGACUCAACCGCCCCACCCCGCCAUCCACGCGCGCCGCUGCCGCCCCACCCCGCCAUCCCCGAGCGACGUCGCUGCCCCACCCCGCCAUCCACGCGCGCCGCUGCCGCCCCACCCCGGCAUCCCCGAGCGACGCCGCCGCCCCACCCCGCCAUCCCCUAGCGGCGCCGCUGCCCCACCCCGCGACUCUGGUGGAUCUCCAGGGAGGUGACAUUCUCGCUACAGCUGACUUGACCUCCGCAAAAAAAGUUUCUCCCUCAAGCGGCGUUCUUGUCGCGUCCACAGGAGUUGAGCUGGAGCGUCUCGGUGGACGAGGAGCAUGACGAUGCAGCCACCGGCCUCCUACCACAGCAAGCGACCGCCGCGGCCAUCCUCCACCUGCCGCUGUAGCCUUCCUCCCCGACCGCCUCCACGACACGCUGGCCUUCGUCUACCUCUGCUCCGCUGCUGCCCAAGGCUGUGUGCGCGAUGGCGGCCCAUGUCGUUUAUCGUCCUGGUUGCGUACGCGUUGACGAGUGAUGCCCCGAUCCAGCUCCUCCAUCCUACAGCCACGGCAAGUCCAAAAGAAAGACAUUCAGUCUAGCAAGCCAAAUGGUUGACCACCAACCCACGCGUGGAUUGGCCCUGACCUGCAGCUGGAGGAGGCCGCGACCUUCAGCUGUAGGAGACGUCGACCUGCAGCUGGAGGAGGCCCCGACCUUCAGCUGUUAAUUUUGAGGAACUAGCUACUCUGAUAAUCUAACUUGACACCGUAUUUGUUUUUGUUCUUCAUAAGUUCAGGCAACUAGGUUGCUAACUAGGAAAACCUUCUCUGGUUGUGCUAACUAGUACGUACUACUAAACUAUAAUAAUCUUGUGAAGUGGAUAAUGCUCGUGCCCCUGGACGCUGGCCAUGUGAGAUUUUGAUGGCUUCGUACUUUUGUUAUUUGAUUUUUGAAUAACAGAAGUUCUCUUCUUUGUCUGUAGAAAACCCCAGUAUGUCACAUUUGUUUGUCGUUAUCCUCUGAAAAAUGGCAUUGUUGCAGGUUAGCUUCGCCUGAUGCGUUAGUUCAGUUUCAUAGUGCACGAUAGGCAUGAUCCAGUAACCAUGGCAUUCCAUCCCCACAACCCGCCGCUGGCCGUCAACCCAACCGCCGCUGUCCCCGGCCACCACACUAGCACUGCCGCUCCUGCGUCUCCGACCACAUUGACCUUCUCGUGAGGGCCACCUUGACCUUCCCAAUGAAGGUUCAUCCAGGGAGUGGACGCUCCCGCCACUCCACCGCCGCGUCGUGCCUGGCUCGUUGCACGUCUCCGCCCUCUGUCACCAGUGCGCUGCCACCGCAUAGAGCUUCCAGCACACUGCCUUGGCCUGCCCUUCCAACGCCAAGCUUCCCUUGUGCGACGUCGGCUACCACUCGUGGCAGAGCGGCUACUUCCCUCCCCGCUGUGCCAGCAGCUAGCGGCCAUUCGCCCCCUGGCCUGUUCUUGCUUCGUUGUCUUCAGAAAAUUUCAGAAAAACUAACUGAACUCAUAUGUUGUUUCAUCAAAAUUACUGUGGAUUUGUACUACUGAUUACUAAAAAGUUCAGAAACGAUUCUCCCACAAACAGAAGUUCAGGUCGCUGUUUGUUGUUAGUUCAGAAUGUCCGGCGGUCGCGGAUCCGGUGGUGCUUGACUGCAGUGAGCCGUCCACGCGGGCACAGCAUCCGAUGGAAGCCGAGUCAAUUGUAGCCAACGCGAGGAGGGGUUAGUAUAGCUGUCUGUGGAGUUCAUAUCCAUACAUGGCGUGCUCUUGGUGGAAUCGGCCAACAUGAAUUUGCUACAGGUUAAUACAACAAGCAAUUCACUUGAGUAGUCCCUUUAACUUGUAGUUGUUGUUGUCAACUCUAGUCAUUCGCUUCUGCAAAAAGUGCUGAUCUUUUUCCUAUUGCGUGAGUAGCUUAGUGGUGGUGGCUUUGGAGAUGGAUGAGAACAAAGGUGUGUGUGUGUGGUAGAAAAAAGGGUCCACGAAACUUGUAUUUUCUUCAUAUAUACUCUGGUUAUUUUGGUCGUUGGACUAUGGAUGUUUACGACAUUGGACUGCUCUGAUUUUAUUGAACAUAUAAAAAAAUGGAA
This is a long non-coding RNA of Aegilops tauschii subsp. strangulata, 2374 nucleotides long. RefSeq lists it as uncharacterized. The record is from RefSeq and is a predicted model, not a curated record. Lineage: Eukaryota; Viridiplantae; Streptophyta; Magnoliopsida; Poales; Poaceae.